This 468-nucleotide ribosomal RNA is filed under the name uncultured bacterium. RNAcentral describes it as "partial 16S ribosomal RNA". It matches the Rfam family "Bacterial small subunit ribosomal RNA", at positions 28 to 507 of the family's 1533-position model. The record is from RNAcentral.
GACGAACGCUGGCGGCGUGCUUAACACAUGCAAGUCGAACGGAAAGGCCCUGCUUUUGUGGGGUGCUCGAGUGGCGAACGGGUGAGUAACACGUGAGUAACCUGCCCUUGACUUUGGGAUAACUUCAGGAAACUGGGGCUAAUACCGGAUAGGAGCUCCUGCUGCAUGGUGGGGGUUGGAAAGUUUCGGCGGUUGGGGAUGGACUCGCGGCUUAUCAGCUUGUUGGUGGGGUAGUGGCUUACCAAGGCUUUGACGGGUAGCCGGCCUGAGAGGGUGACCGGCCACAUUGGGACUGAGCUGCGGCCCAGACUCCUACGGGAGGCAGCAGUGGGGUAUAUUGCACAAUGGGCUGAAGCCUGAUGCAGCAACGCCGCGUGCGGGAUGACGGCCUUCGGGUUGUAAUCCGCUUUCGCCUGUGACGAAGCGUGAGUGACGGUAAUGGGUAAAGAAGCACCGGCUAACUACGUG